CCGGAAGGAGGAGGGAGCCCCCCCGCCCCCGGCAGAGGGUCUCCCGGAAGGAGGAAGGGCCCCCCCCGCGGAGGGUCUCCCAGAAGGAGGAAGGCCCCCCCACGGAGGGUCUCCCGGAAGGAGGAGGGAGCCCCCCCGCCCCCGGCAGAGGGUCUCCCGGAAGGAGGAAGGGCCCCCGCCUGCCGCGGACGGUCUCUGGGAAGGUGGGGCUCCAGUUCUAAGUACCGUUGUCACCAAGUGAGCAUCCUUCCAGAUUUCUAGCAAAAUGCUACGCAGACCCCUUUCCGAGGCCGCAUGGCCUAAUCGUCCUCGGAGAGACUGACUGACUUUAUCGGGUGCUUGCGGAGUGCCAGACACGGCUUUCAUUACAUUCGGUCCUUGUGGGGGCCUGCCAGGUGGGCAGCACAGAUGCUGCAGUUUCAUGGAUGACGAUAUUGAAGCACAGAGGAGUCAGGUCACCCGUUCAAGGUCACACCUGGAGUAGGAGGCAGGGCCCUCACCACCACCUCGCCAGGGGCCUCAUUGUGAACUCGGAAAGGGCCCCACCCCUCCAGCGACUCCGAAACCCGUGGAGCUUCCCUCUGUGAAAUCCUGAUCGAGGGCUUCGCUCCCAGUACGCGCCAGGCCCUCUGCCAGGCGGAAAAACAUUUCCUGCUCUGAGCUCAUCUUAGCCUCCUGGGCGGGCGAGGCUUUGGUGCCCUCCGGGAGUGCCGACCCACCCACGUUCCGGAUCAGCGAAACAAACUCGGCGUCUGCACUGGCUUCCCGUCAUCCGAGCGGUACAGCCAAGAAGCGCUCUCAAAAGAUACGUCAACGUCUCUGGACUUCAGUCCCCUGAAGCAAAUCACAAUAAUGAGAAUCCGCUCCCAGGCCUGCCAUGAACGCGAAGUGGCCCAUAAACAGCAGCUCUGUGCGUGUGUGGAUGAGAGAGUGAACGCGAGAGCUCUGCAGACCUCAAUCUCACGCCCGCAAGGAUUUGCCGAUGGCUGCUUAGAAAGCUGUGCUUACCCUGGGCCUCAGUGCAGCUGAUCACUUGGGGCAGUGGCACAGCAGGAACAGGGAGGGAAGCACUUAUCCCCAGCAGCCACAAGAGUGGAGGCAAAGCUUCAUACCCACCUUAGCUUCCCAAUUCCCCUGGCUGUCCUCCCAGCCUAGUUUUUAAAUAUCUGAAUCUUAAGCGUGCACCUAGGAGUCAUCUUAAUAAAUCGCAUCCCUCCCUGAAGGUC
Long non-coding RNA from Gorilla gorilla gorilla (western lowland gorilla), 1226 nucleotides. RefSeq lists it as uncharacterized. NCBI's taxonomy places the organism in Eukaryota, Metazoa, Chordata, Mammalia, Primates, Hominidae. The record is from RefSeq and is a predicted model, not a curated record. The transcript is spliced from 2 exons.